This 645-nucleotide long non-coding RNA is filed under the name Olea europaea subsp. europaea. Lineage: Eukaryota; Viridiplantae; Streptophyta; Magnoliopsida; Lamiales; Oleaceae. The record is from RNAcentral.
CGAAUCAGUACAUGAUAUAUACAGGCAUGUUCAAGUUUUCGGGCAGAACUCACCCUUAAAAUCAGCAAGAAACGGCGCCAGUGGACCGUGGUUAUAAAUUGACAUAAUUAAUUCUACAUCAUAAAAUCUAUUUUUCUUGUUAUUAUUUACUACAUCAAUUCCAAACAAUAAAAACGCGAAGAAUACUAGAAAAAAAAAAUGAACUAAAAUUCUACCAGAAACAAUGAGAUUGGGAAGAAACAUCCCUCGUAGCAUAACCAUGUAGGCGAAGAAAAAACCUUCUGCUGCUGCUUCUUCUUCUACUACUUGUGAAAAACAAGCCAUUUGUGAGCCUCAACCACAGAAUUUUUCUUAACUUUCUUGCUGAUUUGAAUCUACCCCAUAUCACCCUUUUGACUCUAAACAGGGAUUUCUUAAUCUUCUCCGUCAAACUCUGCUUCCUGGAGAACUGGUAGCUUCUCAAGAACAGUUGCCUCUUUUCCAAUUCUGUGUAUCCUUUUUCACUUCUAAACAUGUAUACAGGGCCCAUAUUAGUAUAGUUGAGCGACAUAUCUGUGUACAGUUUUGGAAGAGAAAAAAUUGGGUUUUUGGGCAGCGUGGGAAAAGUGAUGAAGAAGAGUUUGAUGGCUGGCGGCUUUAAGAAGG